This 72-nucleotide transfer RNA is filed under the name Sphaerodactylus townsendi. Its description in RNAcentral is "tRNA-Thr". It matches the Rfam family "tRNA". From Rfam's summary of the family: Transfer RNA (tRNA) molecules are approximately 80 nucleotides in length. Their secondary structure includes four short double-helical elements and three loops (D, anti-codon, and T loops). Further hydrogen bonds mediate the characteristic L-shaped molecular structure. tRNAs have two regions of fundamental functional importance: the anti-codon, which is responsible for specific mRNA codon recognition, and the 3' end, to which the tRNAs corresponding amino acid is attached (by aminoacyl-tRNA synthetases). tRNAs cope with the degeneracy of the genetic code in two manners: having more than one tRNA (with a specific anti-codon) for a particular amino acid; and 'wobble' base-pairing, i.e. permitting non-standard base-pairing at the 3rd anti-codon position. The record is from RNAcentral. Lineage: Eukaryota; Metazoa; Chordata; Lepidosauria; Squamata; Sphaerodactylidae.
GGGGAUGUGGCUCAGUGGAAGAGUCUCUGUUUAGUAUGCAGUUGGUUCCAGGUUCAGCCCCCAGCAUCGCCA